RNAcentral lists this long non-coding RNA (1125 nucleotides) under Panax ginseng (ginseng). Its description in RNAcentral is "long non-coding RNA (PGIN_LNC001783)". The record is from RNAcentral. Lineage: Eukaryota; Viridiplantae; Streptophyta; Magnoliopsida; Apiales; Araliaceae.
GCAGCUUUGUAAAGUGCACCCACUUCCGCUCAAUAAUCAUUGCCCUUAUUUCCCCAUCUUGCCUUUGAUUGGGCCUCAAACCUCUUUCUAGCACAAAACUCUUAUUUACAAUUGUUUGAUUAUACUUUUUUUAUGCCUAUUCACUAAUAAACUUAGUAUGGUCCCAUGUUGGUGUCGUUUGAGAUGAGCCAGUACUAGUUCUUUUGGCAUUUAGAAGCAAUGUCAAAAAAUUUCAGUAAAUUUGUUGCACAAAUAUGGAAUACUUGGCCAAUUCAAAACCAAAUCUUGCCCCAACUGAACACCAAUUAACAAUCCCAAAGCAAAUCAACCAAAAACUAAACCAAUUUGUUGAAAGCGACUGUCAAAUACCAAGCUAACAAGAAUUUCUAGUCCAAGAACUUAGGUGAAUCAAAAAUAAGUGAAUGCUUAAUUGUGCCAAAAAUCAAACACCUGGCGUGCUCUCUUUCAAACUGAAAUUUUUAGCCCUUUUUUUAGUAAUCACAAACCAAAAAUUUUCCAUACAGUAGAAUUUACCUAAUACAGAAUAUAAUCCAAGCCUAAAUAAAUUGAAACUCAAAUAGUAUACUAGAUGCUUAAUUUCCUUAAAGAAGGAGUGAUAUCCAAAUUACCUAAAAACGUUUUGAUGAGAACCCUAGAUCCGAAGAACUUGAAGUGAGAAAUCCUUGUGAUGGCACAAAAUUAGGUUCAGAAGCGGAUUAGGAUGUUAUGUAGUCUGAUGGCCUGAAUUGGGGGAAGUUUUGAUUGAUGGGAGCCGGAUAAGAAGAGAAAAAAAUGUUUUAACUGUGUAUGCUGAGCGAUGCCUAAGUAAGGCAACAAAAUUUCACUACUGGUUCUGCUGCGCUGCAGUGCUCGCUUUUAAACUUGGGCUUUGAGGGAGGCGCUGUAGUGCUUGUUGAAGAACAAACAUAAGCGAUGCAACAUAUUUUUCCAGUAGGUUAGGGUGGAUGAUGGUGUUGCAGCGCCAGUUACUAGGCUUUUGGACGUGCUACAGUGCAGGCAUUAUGAAUUUGAACAUGAACAAGGCGCUGCAGCGCUGGUUGAAGGGCAAAGCCAGACGUUGCAGUAGGCAAUUUUUUUUAACCUUUCCAGCACAGCAAACACUAG